This 269-nucleotide ribosomal RNA is filed under the name Bacillus safensis. RNAcentral describes it as "partial 16S ribosomal RNA". It matches the Rfam family "Bacterial small subunit ribosomal RNA", at positions 1 to 263 of the family's 1533-position model. The record is from RNAcentral. Lineage: Bacteria; Bacillati; Bacillota; Bacilli; Caryophanales; Bacillaceae.
UCGGAGAGUUUGAUCCUGGCUCAGGACGAACGCUGGCGGCGUGCCUAAUACAUGCAAGUCGAGCGGACAGAAGGGAGCUUGCUCCCGGAUGUUAGCGGCGGACGGGUGAGUAACACGUGGGUAACCUGCCUGUAAGACUGGGAUAACUCCGGGAAACCGGAGCUAAUACCGGAUAGUUCCUUGAACCGCAUGGUUCAAGGAUGAAAGACGGUUUCGGCUGUCACUUACAGAUGGACCCGCGGCGCAUUAGCUAGUUGGUGGGGUAAUGG